AAUAUUGGUCAAUGGACGCAAGUCUGAACCAGCCACGUCGCGUGAAGGCAGACGGCCCUACGUGUUGUAAACUUCUUUUGUAAGGGAAUAAAGUGAGUCACGUGUGACUUUUUGUAUGUACCUUACGAAUAAGGAUCGGCUAACUCCGUGCAAGCAGCCGCUGUAAUACGGAGGAUCCGAGCGUUUUCCGGAUUUAUUGGGUUUAAAGGGUGCGCAGGCGGGAGAUUAAGUCGGCGGUAAAAUUUUGCAGCUCAACUGUAAAAGUGCCUUCGAAACUGGUUUCCUUGAGUGUAGAUGAAGUAGGCGGAAUUUGUGGUGUAGCGGUGAAAUGCAUAGAUAUCACGAGGAACUCCGAUUGCGCAGGCAGCUUACUAAGCUACUACUGACGCUCAGGCACGAAAGCGUGGGUAGCAAACAGG
RNAcentral lists this ribosomal RNA (419 nucleotides) under uncultured bacterium. RNAcentral's name for it is "partial 16S ribosomal RNA". It matches the Rfam family "Bacterial small subunit ribosomal RNA", at positions 360 to 776 of the family's 1533-position model. The record is from RNAcentral.